RNAcentral lists this ribosomal RNA (116 nucleotides) under Colletotrichum higginsianum. The record is from RNAcentral. Lineage: Eukaryota; Fungi; Ascomycota; Sordariomycetes; Glomerellales; Glomerellaceae.
ACGACCAUACCCACUGGAGAACUCGGGAUCCCGUCCGCUCUCCCAUAGAUAAGCCAGUGAGGGCCGGAUUAGUAGUUGGGUCGGUGACGACCAGCGAAUACCUGGUGUUGUAUGUA